Molecule: ribosomal RNA, 346 nt
Filed under: uncultured soil bacterium
Lineage: Bacteria
Description: bacterial SSU rRNA
Rfam family: Bacterial small subunit ribosomal RNA
Source: RNAcentral
AGAUUGAACGCUGGCGGCAUGCCUUACACAUGCAAGUCGAACGGCAGCACGGGAGCAAUCCUGGUGGCGAGUGGCGAACGGGUGAGUAAUAUAUCGGAACGUGCCCAGUCGUGGGGGAUAACGCAGCGAAAGCUGUGCUAAUACCGCAUACGAUCUAUGGAUGAAAGGCGGGGGAUCGCAAGACCUCGCGCGAUUGGAGCGGCCGAUAUCAGAUUAGCUAGUUGGUGGGUAAAGCCUACCGAAGGCGACGAUCUGUAGCUGGUCUGAGAGGACGACCAGCCACACUGGAACUGAGACACGGUCCAGACUCCGUACGGGAGCAGCAGGUGGGUAAUUUGGACUAAGU